GACGAACGCUGGCGGCGUGCUUAACACAUGCAAGUCGAGCGGUAAGGCCCUUUCGGGGGUACACGAGCGGCGAACGGGUGAGUAACACGUGGGUGACCUGCCCUCAGCUCUGGGAUAAGCCUGGGAAACUGGGUCUAAUACCGGAUAUGACUCCAUGACGCAUGUUGUGGGGUGGAAAGCCUUGUGCGGCUGGGGAUGGGCCCGCGGCCUAUCAGCUUGUUGGUGGGGUGANGGCCUACCAAGGCGACGACGGGUAGCCGGCCUGAGAGGGCGACCGGCCACACUGGGACUGAGACACGGCCCAGACUCCGUACGGGAGGCAGCAGGUGGGGAAUCUUGCGCAAGUGGGACGAAAGCCUGACGCAGCGACGCCGCGU
Molecule: ribosomal RNA, 377 nt
Filed under: uncultured bacterium
Lineage: Bacteria
Description: bacterial SSU rRNA
Rfam family: Bacterial small subunit ribosomal RNA
Source: RNAcentral